Molecule: ribosomal RNA, 292 nt
Filed under: uncultured microorganism
Description: partial 16S ribosomal RNA
Rfam family: Bacterial small subunit ribosomal RNA
Source: RNAcentral
GUGCCAGCAGCCGCGGUAAUACGUAGGUGGCAAGCGUUGUCCGGAUUUAUUGGGCGUAAAGCGAGCGCAGGCGGUUUCUUAAGUCUGAUGUGAAAGCCCCCGGCUCAACCGGGGAGGGUCAUUGGAAACUGGGAAACUUGAGUGCAGAAGAGGAGAGUGGAAUUCCAUGUGUAGCGGUGAAAUGCGUAGAUAUAUGGAGGAACACCAGUGGCGAAGGCGGCUCUCUGGUCUGUAACUGACGCUGAGGCUCGAAAGCGUGGGGAGCGAACAGGAUUAGAUACCCUGGUAGUCC